GCCCGUCCCCGAGAAGCCCCCGCUGGGCGGCUGGACCCCUGGGUUCUCCUCCGGCCGCGCUCGCGCUCGCGACCUUGAGCUGGUCUAACCCUCUGGCGCCUGAGCUUCCCGGGCUGUAAAACCCUCGAGGAAGGAGAAUCUCCAAGCUGCGUGAUAAAGUGAGACCCUGCCUAGAAGGAGAAGAAGAAUGAGAAGGAGAAGGAGAAGAAGAAGAAGACAGAAAGAAAGGGAGAAAAAGAAAUAAAGAAAGAAAGAAGGAAAAGAAAAGACAUAGAAAGGUUUUGGAUUCAGUUUACAAGUAUCCAUUGUGCCCUGCAGUGACAUGGGAACUGACUUGCAUUAGAUGACCCCCUCCCAGGUACACGUGGCCCCAGUGCUACCUCCUAGCCCUCCAGGGCCUCAGAUCUUCACAUCUGUGUCUGGGUCUGGCUUUGCUCCCAAACUAGACAAUAUGGGCAGAAAAUGAGCUGCAAUACUGGUGGGUUAAUUCAUU
RNAcentral lists this long non-coding RNA (493 nucleotides) under Homo sapiens (human). RNAcentral describes it as "HSALNT0363392". Lineage: Eukaryota; Metazoa; Chordata; Mammalia; Primates; Hominidae. The record is from RNAcentral.